Molecule: long non-coding RNA, 865 nt
Organism: Cryptomeria japonica (Japanese cedar)
Lineage: Eukaryota; Viridiplantae; Streptophyta; Pinopsida; Cupressales; Cupressaceae
Exons: 2
Source: RefSeq, a predicted model, not a curated record
ACAAUUAGUGUCGAAACCAGCUCUGUUUUUAUCCAUUUUCAACCAGCAAUUGGGCAUCACAACAAACAUUUGUUAUAAAACGCUGUAGAUUUCUUCGCCACCCAUUUUUACAUAAAAAUAAAUGUAAAAGCCGUUGACGGGUGGAAGCCAGCCCCGCUUACACACGUUUUCUUCCUUUUUUUUUCAAAAAGUUUUAUGAAUUUAUAAGAUUCAUCAGAUGGCCAACCAAGCUCUUCACAUUUUACGAAACCAUAUAACAAAUAGCGUUCAAAGUCCAACAGCUUGACAACCAUUAAGGCUAAUUAUGGUUCCUUAAUCAUCUGCAUCGUUUUUAGCAGGAGAUCGGAUCCAAAGGACUUCCUAUCGGCUAACGCCUGUGUUCAGAAGGGCAAGAAAAGGAUAAAGAUGAGGGGACCAAAAUUUUGGAUUACUGUUAUUUGUGUAUGCAUAUGUUACUUUUGUUGUGGUUCUAGACGCCGCAGCCCUAGACAAAGGGAAGGAUUAUAUUAACAAAACAAUUUCACAAUCUUCAUGAUUUAUAAUUUGCUAUUGUCGCUGUGGCCACUGUUAAGUGUUCAGUUCAUACAUUUGCAUUCAUCAUUUGAGAUGGAAUUGAAAAUUUAAGAUGAUGUACUGUAUCCUUAAUAAAGAUUUAAGGCCAGUUCCAAUGGAAUUUGUAUUGGUUGAGCUCUGAUCCCAGGAAGGCUGUUCUACAUCAUGGCAGUUGUAACACAUUAUUGUCUUUGUAUAAAAUGUCCAAUGUAGUUUUCAGUUGUUUGUAAUAUGAACAUUAAUAUGUAGAUCUGUAAGAUUGAACAUAUACACAAGUUGUUUAUCAUAAAUUAUUCCAAAAAGUUAACAGUAA